GACGAGGUGGCCGAGUGGAUGAAGGCACUGCACUUUGACUGCAGCGCGCGGUGUUCGCGCACCGCGCCGCGGGUUCGAAUCCCGCUCUCGUCGCCA
This 96-nucleotide transfer RNA is filed under the name marine sediment metagenome. RNAcentral describes it as "tRNA-Gln". It matches the Rfam family "tRNA". Rfam says of the family: Transfer RNA (tRNA) molecules are approximately 80 nucleotides in length. The record is from RNAcentral.